This 73-nucleotide transfer RNA is filed under the name Lithothamnion corallioides. RNAcentral describes it as "tRNA-Gln". It matches the Rfam family "tRNA". Rfam says of the family: Transfer RNA (tRNA) molecules are approximately 80 nucleotides in length. Their secondary structure includes four short double-helical elements and three loops (D, anti-codon, and T loops). Lineage: Eukaryota; Rhodophyta; Florideophyceae; Hapalidiales; Hapalidiaceae. The record is from RNAcentral.
UGGUGUAUAGCCAAAUAGGUAAGGCAUUGGUUUUUGGCGCCAUCAUAUAAAGGUUCGAAUCCUUUUACACCAG